UACAGAGGAGCCAAGCGUUGUCCGGAUUGACUGGGCGUAAAGCGCACGCAGGCGGCCGCGCGCGUGGGGUGUGAAAUCUGGCCGCUUAACGGCCAGGCGCCAUCCCAUACGGCGCGGCUGGAGCCAUGCAGAGGGCGGUGGAAUUGCCGGUGUAGUGGUGAAAUGCGUAGAGAUCGGCAGGAACACCCAGGGGGAAACCAGCCGCCUGGGCAUGCGCUGACGCUGAGGUGCGAAAGCCAGGGGAGCAAACGGG
This 253-nucleotide ribosomal RNA is filed under the name uncultured bacterium. RNAcentral's name for it is "partial 16S ribosomal RNA". It matches the Rfam family "Bacterial small subunit ribosomal RNA", at positions 524 to 776 of the family's 1533-position model. The record is from RNAcentral.